AGCAUGAAACGGUACGUAAUGAUAUGUGACGGUGCGCAACAAGGCAACUUCUCAUCCGACGGUCGCAGGUUCGAAUCCUGCCGGGUACACCA
This 92-nucleotide transfer RNA is filed under the name Nocardiopsis mwathae. Its description in RNAcentral is "tRNA-OTHER". The record is from RNAcentral. Lineage: Bacteria; Bacillati; Actinomycetota; Actinomycetes; Streptosporangiales; Nocardiopsidaceae.